GUUUUUAUAAUUUAAUUUAAAAUAUUGGUCUUGUAAAUCAAAAAUAAGAAUUUUUCUUUAAAAACU
RNAcentral lists this transfer RNA (66 nucleotides) under Coenonympha phryne. Its description in RNAcentral is "Triphysa phryne tRNA-Thr". It matches the Rfam family "tRNA". Rfam says of the family: Transfer RNA (tRNA) molecules are approximately 80 nucleotides in length. Their secondary structure includes four short double-helical elements and three loops (D, anti-codon, and T loops). The record is from RNAcentral. Lineage: Eukaryota; Metazoa; Arthropoda; Insecta; Lepidoptera; Nymphalidae.